Molecule: ribosomal RNA, 492 nt
Filed under: uncultured bacterium
Lineage: Bacteria
Description: partial 16S ribosomal RNA
Rfam family: Bacterial small subunit ribosomal RNA
Source: RNAcentral
AGUGAACGCUGGCGGUAGGCCUAACACAUGCAAGUCGAACGGCAGCACAGUAAGAGCUUGCUCUUACGGGUGGCGAGUGGCGGACGGGUGAGGAAUACAUCGGAAUCUACUUUUUCGUGGGGGAUAACGUAGGGAAGCUUACGCUAAUACCGCAUACGACCUACGGGUGAAAGCAGGGGACCUUCGGACCUUGCGCGAUUGAAUGAGCCGAUGUCGGAUUAGCUAGUUGGCGGGGUAAAGGCCCACCAAGGCGACGAUCCGUAGCUGGUCUGAGAGGAUGAUCAGCCACACUGGAACUGAGACACGGUCCAGACUCCUACGGGAGGCAGCAGUGGGGAAUAUUGGACAAUGGGCGCAAGCCUGAUCCAGCCAUACCGCGUGGGUGAAGAAGGCCUUCGGGUUGUAAAGCCCUUUUGUUGGGAAAGAAAAGCAGCAGGUUAAUACCCCGCUGUUCUGACGGUACCCAAAGAAUAAGCACCGGCUAACUUCGUG